GUCACUUUGGCCGAGUGGUUAAGGCGCGGGCCUGCUAGUUUCACGAGUUCAAGAACAUGUGAAAGUAGUGGUUCAGCUCGUCUCUUCGGAGGCGCAGGUUCGAAUCCUGCAGGUGACG
Non-coding RNA from Podospora fimiseda, 118 nucleotides. The record is from the annotation of a GenBank genome assembly. NCBI's taxonomy places the organism in Eukaryota, Fungi, Ascomycota, Sordariomycetes, Sordariales, Podosporaceae.